RNAcentral lists this small nuclear RNA (279 nucleotides) under Octodon degus (degu). RNAcentral describes it as "7SK RNA (ENSODEG00000024524.1)". It matches the Rfam family "7SK RNA", at positions 1 to 278 of the family's 331-position model. From Rfam's summary of the family: 7SK was discovered as an abundant small nuclear RNA in the mid-70s but a possible function has only recently been suggested. Two independent studies have found that 7SK RNA binds the CDK9/cyclin T complex (known as elongation factor P-TEFb). P-TEFb activates transcription by phosphorylating the C-terminal domain of RNA polymerase II. Lineage: Eukaryota; Metazoa; Chordata; Mammalia; Rodentia; Octodontidae. The record is from RNAcentral.
GGAUGUGAGGGUGAUCUGGCUGUGACAUCUGUCACCCCACUGAUCGCCAGGGUUGAUUUGGCUGAUCUGGCUGGCUAGGCGGGUGUCCCCUUCCUCCCUCAACGAUCCAUGUGUGUCCCUCCUGAAGCUGCGCACUCGGUCGAAGAGGUCGAUCACCCCCAAUAGAGGAGGACCGUUCCUCGGUCAAGGGUAUACGAGUAGCUGCGCUCCCCUGCUAGAACCUCCAAACAAGCUCUCAAAAAUCAAUGAUAAUAAUGCGGGCUGGAGAGAUGGCUCAGU